RNAcentral lists this ribosomal RNA (638 nucleotides) under uncultured bacterium. RNAcentral's name for it is "bacterial SSU rRNA". It matches the Rfam family "Bacterial small subunit ribosomal RNA", at positions 65 to 718 of the family's 1533-position model. The record is from RNAcentral.
AGCGAUGAAGCUUCCUUCGGGAAGUGGAUUAGCGGCGGACGGGUGAGUAACACGUGGGUAACCUGCCUCAUAGUGGGGGAUAGCCUUUCGAAAGGAAGAUUAAUACCGCAUAAUAUUACGUUAUCGCAUGGUAAUGUAAUUAAAGGAGUAAUUCGCUAUGAGAUGGACCCGCGUCGCAUUAGCUAGUUGGUGAGGUAAUGGCUCACCAAGGCGACGAUGCGUAGCCGACCUGAGAGGGUGAUCGGCCACAUUGGGACUGAGACACGGCCCAGACUCCUACGGGAGGCAGCAGUGGGGAAUAUUGCACAAUGGGCGAAAGCCUGAUGCAGCAACGCCGCGUGAGUGAUGACGGCCUUCGGGUUGUAAAGCUCUGUCUUCAGGGACGAUAAUGACGGUACCUGAGGAGGAAGCCACGGCUAACUACGUGCCAGCAGCCGCGGUAAUACGUAGGUGGCAAGCGUUGUCCGGAUUUACUGGGCGUAAAGGGAGCGUAGGUGGAUGUUUAAGUGGGAUGUGAAAUUUUCGGGCUCAACCCGGAACCUGCAUUCCAAACUGGAUAUCUAGAGUACAGGAGAGGAAAGGAGAAUUCCUAGUGUAGAGGUGAAAUUCGUAGAUAUUGGGAAGAACACCAGUGGCGA